RNAcentral lists this ribosomal RNA (523 nucleotides) under uncultured bacterium. RNAcentral's name for it is "partial 16S ribosomal RNA". The record is from RNAcentral.
ACUGACAGCCAUGGUUACCGCGGCUGCUGGCACGGAGUUAGCCGGUGCUUCUUCUGCGAGUAACGUCACAGAUGUAAGGUAUUAACUUACACCCUUUCCUCCUCGCUGAAAGUGCUUUACAACCCGAAGGCCUUCUUCACACACGCGGCAUGGCUGCAUCAGGGUUUUCCCCCAUUGUGCAAUAUUCCCCACUGCUGCCUCCCGUAGGAGUCUGGGCCGUGUCUCAGUCCCAGUGUGGCUGAUCAUCCUCUCAGACCAGCUAGGGAUCGUCGCCUAGGUGAGCCUUUACCUCACCUACUAGCUAAUCCCACCUGGGCUUAUCCAUCAGCGCAAGGCCCGAAGGUCCCCUGCUUUCCCCCGUAGGGCGUAUGCGGUAUUAGCAGUCGUUUCCAACUGUUAUCCCCCACAAAUGGGCAAAUUCCCAGGCAUUACUCACCCGUCCGCCGCUCGUCAUCUUCAAAAGCAAGCUUUUGAAAUGUUACCGCUCGACUUGCAUGUGUUAGGCCUGCCGCCAGCGUUCAAU